RNAcentral lists this long non-coding RNA (547 nucleotides) under Lepisosteus oculatus (spotted gar). RNAcentral's name for it is "lncRNA (ENSLOCG00000022035.1)". The record is from RNAcentral. Lineage: Eukaryota; Metazoa; Chordata; Actinopteri; Semionotiformes; Lepisosteidae.
AAAAAACUCCGCCUGUUCAUCCACAGUCUGCAAACUUCAGAAACAGCCAUGCACUUCUCAUCCUUUCCGAGCCAUAUUGUGUUGCUCCCUGCUGUGAUUAAAAAAAGCUAAUAAAUUAAAUCUGAAACCGCAAACCCAGUUUUUGAGAAAAGGGGUUGAUCUCUCCCUUCUCUCUCUCUCUCACACACACACAAUCUUUUGCAAUGCUACUCUCUGAUUUCAUUAUGAAAAGUAAAAUACAGCGGGGUUUCUCUGAAGGGAAGUUGUACAUGAAAGACAUGAAGAUUGGGAAGAAACUGUAUGGAGCCACCCACCGCAGACUGACUCGAAGCAACUGUGGGCAAAGAAAAAGUUAAAAGCAAAGAAAGGUUACCGAACCGUAAAGAAAAGUCAAGAAACCGAACUGCAAUCUGCCACUCGAGUUUGUAAUGUGGCUCUGGGAUUUAGGUUUAUUAACGCGCAUUUUAAACUUUGAUUCCACAGAUUGUGUAAACUACGAGAAAAUAAAAUGAAACGGUUUUUACCACCCGAGACAAAAGAGAUGUCC